Molecule: long non-coding RNA, 440 nt
Organism: Hipposideros armiger (great roundleaf bat)
Lineage: Eukaryota; Metazoa; Chordata; Mammalia; Chiroptera; Hipposideridae
Exons: 3
Source: RefSeq, a predicted model, not a curated record
ACAACCGCUGCGCGCGCGAGGGCCCGCCUGCUAGGCGAGCGCGCGCCGGCCGCGGGGAGAAGGCGGAGUCCCGCGGGUCCGCACUGGAGAGCGCGACACCGAGCUGAGCACGCGGGGUCGGGGCGGUGACGCUCUACAGAGUGAACGAGGGAGUUGGGACGCCGCGCUUCCUGCCCCGGCGCCCUCCCAAUUUCAUCCCCCAGAUUGUUAACAGCCUGCAGCGUUAAUGGACGCUUAUUCGCCAGGCUCUGGCGUGACAGGACCAGACUUGGAAGUUAAAGAUCCUGAGCUAUGCCACUUCCUGGCUGUGUGACCUUAGUGUUGCUGCUUCCUUCAUGGUGGUUCUGAAAGUCUAGCCUAAGGCUCACUGAGGUGACUCAGCCAACCUGGCCAUGCAGAGAACAAAUACCAGAAUGGACAAAUGCUGUUCAGUUCCACAG